UACAGUGAUGAUGACGAAAUCAAUGGAGUGACACAAGGUGAUAGACUUCGGGCCUUGAAAAGCAGAAGACAAUCCAAAACGAACGCUAUUCCUCUCACAUGUCCCCUAGCUGUGCUGACCUCUGCACUGUGUAGUGUUGUCAUCUGGUGGAUUGUUUGUGACUACAUUCUUCCCAUCCUGCUAUUCUGUCUCGAUGGUUUCAGAACACAGUAGCCAUCAGGACCCCCUGACAGAUAGCUGCUACAUAGCCAGAAUGCCUUUAAUAGGCUAAUAGCAGCAAAUUUGUAUUCUCUUGAGAUCUUUCAUCUUUGAAAUGAAGACCUUAACAGCGAAGAGGCUUUAUUUCUGCAGAAGAAUGUACAAGAGGCCCACUUGUGGAACAGCAUGUUGAAGACCCCCAGAAGGCGGGUGUGUCCGUGUCACGGGGUCCACCGCCACCCUUCUGUGUCUGAGCUGCGUUCUUUCUUCUCUGAAGCUUUUUCCUUAACUCAUAUUUUAAGAAUUUCUUCUCUUGUCUCCUCUUGGACUUGGAAGUUAUGAAAGAAUGCAAAAGUUCCUUGCAAGAUCUCUUCCAAAGAAAAAUUCCAUUGCAGCCAACUCUGGUACUUUGUGGUUUCAUUGAGUAUUUUCACAUAGCUGAGAAAGAUUUAAAAAUCAAGCUGAUUUCACUCUUCAGAAUUAGGCAAAAC
RNAcentral lists this small RNA (689 nucleotides) under Pan troglodytes (chimpanzee). RNAcentral's name for it is "processed transcript". Lineage: Eukaryota; Metazoa; Chordata; Mammalia; Primates; Hominidae. The record is from RNAcentral.